AGAGUUUGAUCCUGGCUCAGAUUGAACGCUGGCGGCAUGCCUUACACAUGCAAGUCGAACGGCAGCACGGGAGCAAUCCUGGUGGCGAGUGGCGAACGGGUGAGUAAUAUAUCGGAACGUGCCCAGUCGUGGGGGAUAACGUAGCGAAAGCUACGCUAAUACCGCAUACGAUCUAUGGAUGAAAGCGGGGGAUCGCAAGACCUCGCGCGAUUGGAGCGGCCGAUAUCAGAUUAGCUAGUUGGUGGGGUAAAAGCCCACCAAGGCGACGAUCUGUAGCUGGUCUGAGAGGACGACCAGCCACACUGGAACUGAGACACGGUCCAGACUCCUACGGGAGGCAGCAGUGGGGAAUUUUGGACAAUGGGCGCAAGCCUGAUCCAGCAAUGCCGUGUGCAGGACGAAGGCCUUCGGG
This 412-nucleotide ribosomal RNA is filed under the name uncultured bacterium. RNAcentral's name for it is "bacterial SSU rRNA". It matches the Rfam family "Bacterial small subunit ribosomal RNA", at positions 8 to 422 of the family's 1533-position model. The record is from RNAcentral.